UAAAACAACUUUUAACAACGGAUCUCUAGGCUCUCGCAUCGAUGAAGAACGUAGCAAAUUGCGAUAACUAUUGUGAAUUGCAUCUCGUGAAUCAUCAAGUUUUUGAACGCAUCUUGCACUCUUUGGUAUUCCAAAGAGUACACUUGUUUCAG
This 152-nucleotide ribosomal RNA is filed under the name Pilobolus kleinii. RNAcentral describes it as "5.8S ribosomal RNA". It matches the Rfam family "5.8S ribosomal RNA". Rfam says of the family: 5.8S ribosomal RNA (5.8S rRNA) is a component of the large subunit of the eukaryotic ribosome. RNAcentral also lists the same sequence under 1 other name. Lineage: Eukaryota; Fungi; Mucoromycota; Mucoromycetes; Mucorales; Pilobolaceae. The record is from RNAcentral.